GACGAACGCUGGCGGCGUGCUUAACACAUGCAAGUCGAACGGGAUUUAGUAGACAGAAGCCUCGGCUAAAGAUUACUAAUGUGAGUGGCGAACGGGUGAGUAACGCGUGAGCAACCUGCCUAUGACAGUGGGAUAGCCUCGGGAAACCGGGAUUAAUACCGCAUAAAAUCGUAGAAACACAUGUUUUAACGGUCAAAGAUUUAUCGGUCAUAGAUGGGCUCGCGUCUGAUUAGCUAGUUGGUGAGAUAACAGCCCACCAAGGCGACGAUCAGUAGCCGGUCUGAGAGGAUGAACGGCCACAUUGGAACUGAGACACGGUCCAAACUCCUACGGGAGGCAGCAGUGGGGAAUAUUGCACAAUGGGGGAAACCCUGAUGCAGCGACGCCGCGUGAACGAAGAAGGUAUUCGUAUCGUAAAGUUCUGUCCUAUGGGAAGAUAAUGACAGUACCAUAGAAGAAAGCUCCGGCUAAAUACGUG
Molecule: ribosomal RNA, 478 nt
Filed under: uncultured bacterium
Lineage: Bacteria
Description: partial 16S ribosomal RNA
Rfam family: Bacterial small subunit ribosomal RNA
Source: RNAcentral